This 345-nucleotide unclassified non-coding RNA is filed under the name Zea mays. RNAcentral's name for it is "misc RNA Zm00001eb180600". Lineage: Eukaryota; Viridiplantae; Streptophyta; Magnoliopsida; Poales; Poaceae. The record is from RNAcentral.
CUGGUCCUGGGCGUUUCCUGGUCGCUGGCAGGGAAGAGCAGGGGGCACCAUGGCCAUGGAGGAAAUGGAGCUGCUGCGUCGCCCAUGGACAUGGAGCUCGCCGAGGUCGGCCCAGGGAGCUCCUGCGCGCAGAGGAACAUCAGGGGGGGAAAGAAGCUCAGCCGUGGCUGCUGGAGGUGCUCGGCUAGGGAGGGAGCAUGGAGAUGGAGCCGGCUUCUAUGGGGAAGAAGGGGAGGACGCCAUGACUGUUGGUCGAGCUCCCUGCUGGCCGCCGUGGGGAAGAAGACAGGGAGUCGGCGGGAGCAGACCUGCGCUAGGGAGAAGGAGGAAGAGAGUGGCGGCUGA